Nicotiana attenuata is the source of this 118-nucleotide small nuclear RNA. It matches the Rfam family "U5 spliceosomal RNA". Rfam says of the family: U5 RNA is a component of both types of known spliceosome. Lineage: Eukaryota; Viridiplantae; Streptophyta; Magnoliopsida; Solanales; Solanaceae. The record is from Rfam.
AGCCACGCAUUGAGCACAGAGCGAACUAUUCUUUCGCCUUUUACUAAAGAAUACCGUGUGCGCGCUGCAUUAAAUGGCAUACGCGCCUAUUUUUGGAGGGGUUCUCAAAUUGAGUUCC